Sardina pilchardus (European sardine) is the source of this 1629-nucleotide long non-coding RNA. RefSeq lists it as uncharacterized. The transcript is spliced from 4 exons. NCBI's taxonomy places the organism in Eukaryota, Metazoa, Chordata, Actinopteri, Clupeiformes, Clupeidae. The record is from RefSeq and is a predicted model, not a curated record.
CUUUUCAACUCCAUGUGUGGGGAGAUAAGGAACACAGUGACACAGCAGGCCCAAGUGGGGUUGGAGGGGACGAGGUUGAGUGACACCCUGGGCAUGACUAGAUGUCAGUUGAGUCAGCCCAAGCCAGGAAUAUCUCCCGCCUUCGCUUCUUGGUGUGUAACAGCGCUGUGCUCUUCUGUGACUUCUUCUCUGCCUGCUGAUUACUAUGGACCCUCCUGAUGCAACAAAAGGUCAGAACGAUGACAUCCCCACCGUGGUGAUUGUCAGCAGCAUAUUUACUCUGCUGGCUCUGGUAGCCACAACUAUUUGGUUGUGCAGGCAGCUGGUGGGAGCCUAUGGCAGAGCUUGGCAAACUGAGCAGAAAGAGAUGGAGUCUAUCCAGCCUGUGUCAGAAAGGCCUUCUAAAAGCACGCCAGUAAAGAAAGAAGAAGCCCAACCAGAGGAAGAUGAAACAGAGGAUGUGCUUGAUGGAGAAACUGACAGUUGAAAGGGUUGUGUGGUUCUCAGUUAAUGCCACCAUCUGUUCUAGUGAUUUACAGACUUUUUACAGAACUAAAGAAUUUACAGAACUAAAGAAUGUCAUGUUUGUAUUUGUAUUUCAGUUCCUUUAUGAAGUAUGCCACUGGUUAUAUUUUUUCACUGAAAUGUUUAGAAAUACGUGUGCUGUAACAAAACAAAAACAAAAACAAAAAAAUAAAAGAAGGAUUUAAUUUUAUCAAAGAUACUUGAUUUCACAUGGCACAGUCACUUACUGUACUUGAGUUUGAAGUGGUCCUUGAUGGUGAAUGUUGAUACAUUUAUCCAUGUUCAGUGUUCUAUCUCUAGGUUGAGGGAUUGUAACCUGUUCUUAGAAAAGAAAGGGGGAUUAUUCUCUCAAUCCUCUGUCUCAAAGGGUUAACUACUUCUGAUGAAUUGCGCUUCAAUAAAGUGUAUUCUCUUUAAAUGGAUUCUGAUGGCUCUGAAAAGACCAUGCCAGUUUUCAAUUGUAAAUUCAAUUAUGGCUUUCCAAUAUUUUCUUAAUUCUUUACAAUUAUGCUUUUGCUCUUCCUGCUGGGAGCAGCCAGAACUGGGGUCAAAUGAAACAGGCCCUAAUACCCUCCAUCACCGGGCAACCCUCGUUAUUAGAGAUGACCAGCACCUCAGAAAACUGUCAAAUCAUGGUGGUCCACCCCUCAUUAUAUCCCUUUGACACACUGUUUGUUGUUUACACACACAUUUUGCAUGGCAUGUCGAAAAAAUAUAAAUGCACAGCAACUACAUACCACAUUGACGAAUAUAGUUUUAUUCUUGAUAAUGAUUUCAACUCCUCCUCACACUGCAUGUCCAAUACAGUAGCUAUUACAAUUGUAAAAUCACUGACUAUUAUUUUAUGUACCGGUAUAAUAUCUAUAUGUGAAAAGAAACAUUUAUUAAUGUUUAAGAGAUAAAAAUAACAUUUAUUGGUGUAGGUUGGGUUACUUGUUGCAUAAAGUUUGCUCCAAUCGAAAAAUACAAAUGAUGAAUAAUUAAAAGAACACUGAACAUGGAAGACAUUGAUUUUGUGCAAUGUUGAAAAUAACCCAGUUUAUCUGGUUUCGCUCUCUGCCGGUCUAGCUUUGUUGUUCCCUGUGUCUGCUGCUUGACAGAUUA